RNAcentral lists this ribosomal RNA (428 nucleotides) under uncultured bacterium. RNAcentral's name for it is "partial 16S ribosomal RNA". It matches the Rfam family "Bacterial small subunit ribosomal RNA", at positions 354 to 796 of the family's 1533-position model. The record is from RNAcentral.
GUGGGGAAUAUUGGGCAAUGGGGGAAACCCUGACCCAGCAACGCCGCGUGAGGGAAGAAGGUUUUCGGAUUGUAAACCUCUGUCCUUGGUGACGAAGGAAGUGACGGUAACCAAGGAGGAAGCCCCGGCUAACUACGUGCCAGCAGCCGCGGUAAUACAUAGGGGGCAAGCGUUGUCCGGAAUGACUGGGCGUAAAGGGCGUGUAGGCGGCAGAUUAAGUCUGGAGUGAAAGUCCUGCUUUCAAGGUGGGAAUUGCUUUGGAGACUGGUUGGCUUGAGUGCGGAAGAGGUAAGUGGAAUUCCCAGUGUAGCGGUGAAAUGCGUAGAGAUUGGGAGGAACACCAGUGGCGAAGGCGACUUACUGGGCCGUAACUGACGCUGAGGCGCGAAAGCGUGGGGAGCGAACAGGAUUAGAAACCCGAGUAGUCC